This 465-nucleotide ribosomal RNA is filed under the name uncultured bacterium. RNAcentral describes it as "partial 16S ribosomal RNA". It matches the Rfam family "Bacterial small subunit ribosomal RNA", at positions 28 to 507 of the family's 1533-position model. The record is from RNAcentral.
GACGAACGCUGGCGGCGUGCUUAACACAUGCAAGUCGAACGGAAAGGCCCCUUUGGGGGUACUCGAGUGGCGAACGGGUGAGUAACACGUGAGUAACCUGCCCUUGACUUCGGGAUAACUUCAGGAAACUGGGGCUAAUACCGGAUAGGAAUCCUUGCUGCAUGGUGGGGGUUGGAAAGCUUCGGCGGUUUUGGAUGGACUCGCGGCUUAUCAGCUUGUUGGUGGGGUAGUGGCUUACCAAGGCUUUGACGGGUAGCCGGCCUGAGAGGGCGACCGGCCACAUUGGGACUGAGAUACGGCCCAGACUCCUACGGGAGGCAGCAGUGGGGAAUAUUGCACAAUGGGCGGAAGCCUGAUGCAGCAACCCCGCGUGCGGGAUGACGGCCUUCGGGUUGUAAACCGCUUUCAGCAGGGGCGAAGCUUGUGGUGACGGUACCUGCAGAAGAAGCACCGGCUAACUACGUG